This 385-nucleotide ribosomal RNA is filed under the name uncultured bacterium. RNAcentral describes it as "bacterial SSU rRNA". It matches the Rfam family "Bacterial small subunit ribosomal RNA", at positions 28 to 412 of the family's 1533-position model. The record is from RNAcentral.
GACGAACGCUGGCGGCGUGCUUAACACAUGCAAGUCGAGCGGUAAGGCCCUUUCGGGGGUACGACGAGCGGCGAACGGGUGAGUAACACGUGGGUGACCUGCCCUCAGCUCUGGGAUAAGCCUGGGAAACCGGGUCUAAUACCGGAUAUGACUCCAUGACGCAUGUUGUGGGGUGGAAAGCCUUGUGCGGCUGAGGAUGGGCCCGCGGCCUAUCAGCUUGUUGGUGGGGUGANGGCCUACCAAGGCGACGACGGGUAGCCGGCCUGAGAGGGCGACCGGCCACACUGGGACUGAGACACGGCCCAGACUCCUACGGGAGGGCAGCAGUGGGGAAUCUUGCGCAAUGGGCGAAAGCCUGACGCAGCGACGCCGCGUGAGGGAUGAC